UACAGAGGGUGCAAGCGUUAAUCGGAUUUACUGGGCGUAAAGCGUGUGUAGGUGGCCGCGUAAGUCGAUUGUGAAAGCCCUGGGCUUAACCCGGGAAUUGCAGUCGAUACUGCGUGGCUCGAGUUCGGUAGAGGACGGCAGAAUUCCCGGUGUAGCGGUGAAAUGCGUAGAUAUCGGGAGGAAUACCGAUGGCGAAGGCAACCGUCUGGGCCUGAACUGACACUGUGACACGAAAGCGUGGGUAGCAAACAGG
Molecule: ribosomal RNA, 253 nt
Filed under: uncultured bacterium
Lineage: Bacteria
Description: partial 16S ribosomal RNA
Rfam family: Bacterial small subunit ribosomal RNA
Source: RNAcentral